This 433-nucleotide ribosomal RNA is filed under the name uncultured bacterium. RNAcentral describes it as "partial 16S ribosomal RNA". It matches the Rfam family "Bacterial small subunit ribosomal RNA", at positions 29 to 507 of the family's 1533-position model. The record is from RNAcentral.
AACGAACGCUGGCGGCAUGCCUAACACAUGCAAGUCGAACGAGACCUUCGGGUCUAGUGGCGCACGGGUGCGUAACGCGUGGGAACCUGCCCUUAGGUUCGGAAUAACUCCCCGAAAGGGGUGCUAAUACCGGUUAAUGUCUUCGGACCAAAGAUUUAUCGCCUUUGGAUGGGCCCGCGUUGGAUUAGCUAGUUGGUAGGGUAAAAGCCUACCAAGGCGACGAUCCAUAGCUGGUCUGAGAGGAUGAUCAGCCACACUGGGACUGAGACACGGCCCAGACUCCUACGGGAGGCAGCAGUGGGGAAUAUUGGACAAUGGGCGAAAGCCUGAUCCAGCAAUGCCGCGUGAGUGAUGAAGGCCGUAGGGUUGUAAAGCUCUUUUACCCGGGAUGAUAAUGACAGUACCGGGAGAAUAAGCACCGGCUAACUCCGUG